Molecule: small RNA, 576 nt
Filed under: Pan troglodytes (chimpanzee)
Lineage: Eukaryota; Metazoa; Chordata; Mammalia; Primates; Hominidae
Description: retained intron
Source: RNAcentral
CGGCUUAAGGGUUUAUUCCAGGUGAGGCGAGUGUCUUAGAAGAUGGGAAACACGUAGAUGGCGUGUUUUUACGGAAGAACUAAAAUAUUUAAUUUUUAGGCAAGUGUCGUGGACUUCGUACUGCUAGGAAGCUCCGUAGUCACCGACGAGACCAGAAGUGGCAUGAUAAACAGUAUAAGAAAGCUCAUUUGGGCACAGCCCUAAAGGCCAACCCUUUUGGAGGUGCUUCUCAUGCAAAAGGAAUCGUGCUGGAAAAAGUAGGAGUUGAAGCCAAACAGCCAAAUUCUGCCAUUAGGAAGUGUGUAAGGGUCCAGCUGAUCAAGAAUGGCAAGAAAAUCACAGCCUUUGUACCCAACGACGGCUGCUUGAACUUUAUUGAGGAAAAUGAUGAAGUUCUGGUUGCUGGAUUUGGUCGCAAAGGUCAUGCCGUUGGUGAUAUUCCUGGAGUCCGCUUUAAGGUUGUCAAAGUAGCCAAUGUUUCUCUUUUGGCCCUAUACAAAGGCAAGAAGGAAAGACCAAGAUCAUAAAUAUUAAUGGUGAAAACACUGUAGUAAUAAAUUUUCAUAUGCCAAAAAA